GAAAAAUAAUAAAAGGAUUUCUUCUACUCUCAAGGAACAAUUCUUAUUUCUAAUAUUCAGGAAUAUUAUUUAUUAUUUUAUUAUCCGAAAGUUCAACUAUUGGAAAAUUUUUGUCACUGUAUUAAUUCGAAUAUGAGAAGUUCUAUAAUACAGUGUAAUUUUAUGUUAAGGUUGCCUAUAUGCGACCUUACGUUGCGUAUGCAUUUGGCCGAACGUGAAAUACAGAAUGUAAGUAUUUUCAACGAAGAAAAACAUAAUUUGAAUAUCAUGAGGUCAAUGUAUCAGCUCAUUUAACACAAUUCAAUCGACUUACGUUAACAAUCGCUUCUAUUCCACUCACUUUAAUGUUUCUCGCUUCAAUAUCCGCGAACAGCGAACAAAGCGAAAAUAGUAAACACAGUACAUUUUAUCUACAACACUUCAACUUUACUUCUUCACUUUAUCGCAACGUGAAAUUGUACAAAACAAUUCCACUCAGUGUAAUGAAUCGAGGAUCAAUUUAUCGAAAAAAUGGAAUAAUAUUCAUGAUAAAUUGUAUUAUAUCUUCCAAAUAAUUCCAAAUAUCAUGUUUCGCUUUGAAGGAAAACAUAUUUUGCUACGAAAAGAAAUGACGGAUAUAAUUCAAACAUACGAUACAAAAAAAGAUACAAGAAGAAAAAUAUACACAGUAUUUUCUAACACGGAGAGUACCGAACGAGAAAACGUUCCAGCGUAUGAUAGAAUGUUUACAGCCAUGACGUUAAUAAACUGCAUCAUUGGCAAUAUGUAUAAGAAUUAACAUAUAAAUAUUUUUCCCAAAGUUUGAUCUUUUCAAUCUUGAUGCAACGGAUGUGCAACCAAUUCCAUUCUCACGAAUCGCAUUUUAUUCACCGAUGAAGCGAUAUUCACGCGAUCUGGAAUUUUCACGCGCGCAGCAAACACACGUGAAUGGAGGAAAAUCCACAUUGCGUAGUGCAAAAUAAAUAUCAAAGGGAAUUUAGUAUGAACGUAUGGUUGGAAGUAUUGGACAAUAAGUUGAUAGGCUCGUUCUUUUUACCGGUCUUCUUUUGUCUUACGAGAGAGAUUUACUUGGAAUUUUUGAAAACUGUCUACUAUAAUUGUUGAAAGAUGUGAAUUUAUACGUGAGAAGAGACAUGUGGUUUAUGCACGACGAAUCAUCGAUCCAUUUCGGCUUUGAUGCCACGCAAUAUUUGAACGAAAAAUAUCCCGAUAGGUCGGUCUCCUGAUUUGAAUUCAUUGGAUCAGUGUGGGAUUACUUGAAAACUUUGGUGUACAAAACGUCGGUGUACGACGAGAAUAUUCUGCAGAUGCGAAUUAUAGACAAGUGUAAGAAAAUUGGAGCAAAGAUUAAACUAUUCAAAUAAAUUCAACAGUCGUUCCGUAAAAGGCUGAGAUUGUAUCGAGGAGAGAAGUAAGAAUCUUACUUGGACGCUUUGGUGCUAUUUUAAGGACAAAUGUUCGUAUUUCCAUUGGUUUCAAAAUUAUAUUUAUGACACCGUCUUUAAUUUCUACGGGCUGAUAUUCUUCUUCCAAUUGAAGAAUAUCAUUCGUCUCAGCAUUCCAUUUCAAACGAUUCAUAUCCUUGAACCAUUGAUUACCACCUAAUGUAGUCUCCUUAACGGAUACGAUCGUAAAAGUUGUAAACAAAUCCUAUUGUAACAAAAUCAUAAAUUAAAUAUUAAUAUAUUUUUAUGUACAGCAUUGGAUAUUUUGUAAAAGAUAAUUCGAAACAUACUUGUAUAUUAACUGUUACAGGUUUCGAUAAAUUCUCAGUUUCAUCUAUUUCGAAAAUAUGUUCUAAUCUUAGUAGAAGAGAAUCUUCUUUCCACGGUUCCAAAGUUAAAAUGUGAACAUUUGGUGGCAACGCUUUGGCAAGACCUAUAUUCUAGAAGCAAUAAAAAUUCUAACUUGUUUCUAUUUCUCUGACGAUUUUUAAUACGUUUAUGAUUUAUACUUCUGUACUUAAAUAUCAUUUACUUGGUAAAUACCACUUACUUGCAAGGCAGCAUAUUGUGCAUACGUUGAAAAAUUACUUUCAUUAGAUAUAAUAAAAGGCCAUGGACGAAGCAACA
Apis cerana (Asiatic honeybee) is the source of this 2072-nucleotide long non-coding RNA. RefSeq lists it as uncharacterized. The record is from RefSeq and is a predicted model, not a curated record. Lineage: Eukaryota; Metazoa; Arthropoda; Insecta; Hymenoptera; Apidae.